Molecule: ribosomal RNA, 468 nt
Filed under: uncultured bacterium
Lineage: Bacteria
Description: partial 16S ribosomal RNA
Rfam family: Bacterial small subunit ribosomal RNA
Source: RNAcentral
GACGAACGCUGGCGGCGUGCUUAACACAUGCAAGUCGAACGGAAAGGCCCUGCUUUUGUGGGGUGCUCGAGUGGCGAACGGGUGAGUAACACGUGAGUAACCUGCCCUUGACUUUGGGAUAACUUAGGGAAACUGGGGCUAUAACCGGAUAGGAGCUCCUGCUGCAUGGUGGGGGUUGGAAAGUUUCGGCGGUUGGGGAUGGACUCGCGGCUUAUCAGCUUGUUGGUGGGGUAGUGGCUUACCAAGGCUUUGACGGGUAGCCGGCCUGAGAGGGUGACCGGCCACAUUGGGACUGAGAUACGGCCCAGACUCCUACGGGAGGCAGCAGUGGGGAAUAUUGCACAAUGGGCGGAAGCCUGAUGCAGCAACGCCGCGUGCGGGAUGACGGCCUUCGGGUUGUAAACCGCUUUCGCCUGUGACGAAGCGUGAGUGACGGUAAUGGGUAAAGAAGCACCGGCUAACUACGUG